CCUACGGGAGGCAGCAGUGGGGAAUAUUGCACAAUGGGGGAAACCCUGAUGCAGCGACGCCGCGUGAGUGAAGAAGGAAUUCGUUAUGUAAAGCUCUAUCAGCAGGGAAGAAAAUGACGGUACCUGAGUAAGAAGCCCCGGCUAACUACGUGCCAGCAGCCGCGGUAAUACGUAGGGGGCAAGCGUUAUCCGGAUUUACUGGGUGUAAAGGGAGCGUAGACGGCAGGGCAAGUCUGGAGUGAAAGGCGGGGGCUCAACCCCCGGACUGCUCUGGAAACUGUAAGGCUGGAGUGCAGGAGAGGUAAGUGGAAUUCCCAGUGUAGCGGUGAAAUGCGUAGAUAUUAGGAGGAACACCAGUGGCGAAGGCGGCCUGCUGGGCUUUUACUGACGCUGAGGCUCGAAAGUGUGGGGAGCAAACAGGAUUAGAUACCCGAGUAGUC
This 440-nucleotide ribosomal RNA is filed under the name uncultured bacterium. RNAcentral describes it as "partial 16S ribosomal RNA". It matches the Rfam family "Bacterial small subunit ribosomal RNA", at positions 338 to 795 of the family's 1533-position model. The record is from RNAcentral.